RNAcentral lists this ribosomal RNA (459 nucleotides) under uncultured bacterium. RNAcentral's name for it is "bacterial SSU rRNA". It matches the Rfam family "Bacterial small subunit ribosomal RNA", at positions 338 to 795 of the family's 1533-position model. The record is from RNAcentral.
CCUACGGGUGGCAGCAGUAGGGAAUAUUGGGCAAUGGGCGCAAGCCUGACCCAGCCAUGCCGCGUGCAGGAAGAAGGCGUUCUGCGUUGUAAACUGCUUUUAUAUAGGAAGAAACGACCCUUGCGAGGGGCAUUGACGGUAUUAUAUGAAUAAGCACCGGCUAACUCCGUGCCAGCAGCCGCGGUAAUACGGAGGGUGCAAGCGUUGUCCGGAUUUAUUGGGUUUAAAGGGUGCGCAGGUGGUUUAUUAAGUCAGUGGUGAAAGACGGUCGCUCAACGAUUGCAGUGCCAUUGAUACUGAUAGACUUGAGUAAAGUAGAGGUGGGCGGAAUUGAUAGUGUAGCGGUGAAAUGCAUAGAUAUUAUCAAGAACUCCGAUUGCGAAGGCAGCUCACUUGGCUUUUACUGACACUCAUGCACGAAAGUGUGGGUAUCAAACAGGAUUAGAUACCCUUGUAGUC